GUGGGGAAUAUUGGACAAUGGGCGAAAGCCUGAUCCAGCCAUGCCGCGUGUGUGAAGAAGGUCUUCGGAUUGUAAAGCACUUUAAGUUGGGAGGAAGGGCAGUAAGUUAAUACCUUGCUGUUUUGACGUUACCAACAGAAUAAGCACCGGCUAACUUCGUGCCAGCAGCCGCGGUAAUACGAAGGGUGCAAGCGUUAAUCGGAAUUACUGGGCGUAAAGCGCGCGUAGGUGGUUCAGCAAGUUGAAGGUGAAAUCCCCGGGCUCCACCUGGGAACUGCCUCCAAAGCUACUGAGCUAGAGUACGGUAGAGGGUAGUGGAAUUUCCUGUGUAGCGGUGAAAUGCGUAGAUAUAGGAAGGAACACCAGUGGCGAAGGCGACUACCUGGACUGAUACUGACACUGAGGUGCGAAAGCGUGGGGAGCAAACAGGAUUAGAUACCCUUGUAGUCC
Molecule: ribosomal RNA, 450 nt
Filed under: uncultured bacterium
Lineage: Bacteria
Description: partial 16S ribosomal RNA
Rfam family: Bacterial small subunit ribosomal RNA
Source: RNAcentral